RNAcentral lists this ribosomal RNA (247 nucleotides) under uncultured bacterium. Its description in RNAcentral is "partial 16S ribosomal RNA". It matches the Rfam family "Bacterial small subunit ribosomal RNA", at positions 113 to 353 of the family's 1533-position model. The record is from RNAcentral.
ACGCGUAGGUAACCUGCCUUGUAGCGGGGGAUAACUAUUGGAAACGAUAGCUAAUACCGCAUAACAAUGGAUGACACAUGUCAUUUAUUUGAAAGGGGCAAUUGCUCCACUACAAGAUGGACCUGCGUUGUAUUAGCUAGUAGGUGAGGUAAUGGCUCACCUAGGCGACGAUACAUAGCCGACCUGAGAGGGUGAUCGGCCACACUGGGACUGAGACACGGCCCAAACUCCUACGGGAGGCAGCAUG